AGAGAAACCUUUGGAGUCAAGCUUUCCUUCUUUCCUUCUAACUUCGUCUCCAAGUUGACAUUUGUCCAAGGCCUAUUUAAAAAGAAUGUUAAUGAGUGAGCGCAAUACAAAUUGUGAAGAACGAUUGCAAGUUUAAUCUUUUAUACCAACCCACCUCCCAAAUUUGAUCAUCAGUGUAUUCUUCCAGGGGGUCCAUAUUAUUUCUUACUGUUCCUUCAAACAUUGUUGGAUCCUGAGGAAUAAUGCUUAGUCUAGACCUCAAAUCAUGAAGUCCAAUUGAAGAGAUGUUGAUGUUGUCAAUCAUAACUUGCCCAACAGCAGGCUCAACAAUUCGAAAAAGCGUUUGUAUGAGGGUGGAUUUACCACUUCCUGUCAACAAUACCAGUUUUUAGUCCUCCAUGGAAUUUGCACGUAAGACCACACAACACAAGUGGAAGAUGAGGAGCAUACCGAACCUUCGGAAUGGGAACACAUAAUUUUAAACAUAGCACAGAACACCUUGUAUAAAUUACGUUAUGAAGUAUGUUGUCAUGAUUUUCUUGUUUAGAAGCUAACUUGUAACCAUUUAGGAACAGAAAACUUUACAUGCAUAUCAUAAAUCAAAUGGCCUCACAAUAAAAGAAAUCAAAAGAAACCAAGAAUGUAAUAGCUUGAAGUACCUGCAGAUCUUGUAUAUCGAUCUCGCCAUUUGAGGGCCAAGAAGGAUUUGGCUGAUUUUCAUCUAUAACAAGGGGAGGCUCAUUGGGAAUAGAAGUAUACUGAAGUAUUCUCUCUACUGAUCUAAUUUUGCUCUCCAUUUUGCAUAGAUUCCAUAUCAUCCAAGCUUGUAUAUUGUUCAAAUUUAGCCCGUAUGUAACGGCUAAACCAGCAAGGCCUUCAAAGUCACAGUUCAUUCAAAAGGAAAACAAUCAUGUUCAAUUCCACAUUACCUUAGCAGACUAAACUUUGAUUUGUAACAGAUACCAGAUCAGAAUAACGCACCUGGAUCUAUGAAUCCCGGUGGAAUAGAUAUUAUGAAUAUUAAGGAAAAGGCAAAUAUGAUAGAAGACAACAUAUCUAAGCGGAAGCACAACCAUUCCAUGGCACAAGCAAUGUUGAUCUUUGGCCGAGAAUACCCAUCAGUCAGUUUCAUAUUUGUUUCCUGAAAUCUUGAUUGCUGAUCAAAGCUUCUAAUGGUUGAAGUACCAGAAAUUGUUUCAGAAAAGUGUUGUAUGAGUGGGGCUUUGCAGACUCCAACUAAACGUGAUAGUUCUCUGGCUGAUGGAAUAUAAUAUUGCUGCAGAAUUACAAGUUUGUCAGAUCUUAGCCAUACAUCAUAAAAUAUUGUAUAAUGAAGUCAAUAUUUUAAAAUAAAAUUGGUACAUACAGUGCAGGUAAAGCCAUUCCAGACAAGGAUGGAAGUAAUUCAAGAAAUAUAUGCCACCUUAUCAUAAAAGUCUACAUUAUGCGGUCAAAUUAAUACCUGAUAGCAAAUGCAGACUAUAAUCACAGGUAUAAAGACAACUAAAACUUGCCAUGCAGCCUGAGACAUCACUGCUAUAAUUCCCAGAAGUUGGAUCAUAAUGAAGGCAAAUGAUGCAAUUUGAUGAGGAAUAUUUGUAUCCAAUGCAUUUUGAUCCGUUGAAACCUGGAAGAGUAGAGGAGAAAGGACAAGUGACGCAAUAUUAAAUAAUGUGUAGCUGUUGAAAACAAACAACAAAAUAAGGGUACUAUUAAUGUAGAGGGAAAAUGUUAUAUAAGACAGAAACCGUAGCUAUAAAGUCAGAAGAACAAAAAUGAAAAGAAUGAGGUUUACAUACUCUGUUAAGGAUACGCCCACUUGGAGUGGAAUCAAAAAAUGACAUUGGAGCACGGAAAAUGCAAUAGUGCAUUUUACUGAAGAGUAUGGUAGCUGUUUUGUAACUAGUUGUGACAAGAAGCAUUGCUCUGGCAAGGAUGCAUAAAGAACUUCCAAUAGCCAAACUAACAUAGACUACUAUAAGAGUUGUUCCUUCAACAGGUGGAACCACAUCUGCUGAGAUGGGAGUCGCCCAAGCCAUCCAAUAAUUGCUGCCAAUUUGAAGAACUUGAAAAAGAAUCUGAGCUAACAAUAUGAAUGGUACAAGAGCUCCUCCAUAUGCUGUUGUGAUGCAUUUCCAAUACACUGAAAAGCCAACUUUACCUUUCACUCUUUCUUCUUUCGGAACAAACUGAACUUUUGGUUCACUUUUAAUUGUUUUACCAUUUUGCUCAUCUUUACUUGCCUCCUCUUUAGAACCUUGCGUGCCAGAGACAUUUACAUGUUGUUCCAAGGUGCUUAUUUCAUCACAUACUGUUGCUCCAUCCAAAGAAUCUAGCGUAGACAAAGCUUUUUUAUGUGCACCAACAAGUUCCAUAAAAUCAGCUCCAUAAUUAAGCAAAUCAGUAUACUUUCCACAUUGAGUAAUUUUCCCAUCUUUCAUAACCUAACCUCAAAGAUAACAUGACGGAUUUAAAAACAAAGCUAUUUUUUACAUUCGUCGUGGCUAUUAAAUUAUGAGAAACUACUCACCAAUAUAUGGUCAGCAGCAGGUAAGAACUCCACUUGAUGAGUGACAUAAACCACUGUUUUUGAACUUAAAAGGCCCAACAAGCAUUCCUACCAUACAAAAAAUAGAAAAGUUCACUUACAAAAUAAUACAAGAGUUGUGCAGUUAGAAGAGUUAAAUCAAUGAUUAUUUGAAUUCUGCCUUGUGCAUAUAAUUAUGGUAGUUCAGGUUAUAUUGUACAUAAUGAACAAAGUAAUGAAACCAAGUUACCUUGAAGAGGUGAGAGCCUGUGUGAGCAUCCAAAGCACUGAAAGGAUCAUCGAAUAGAUAUUGUACCUGAGUGGAGAGAUGGGGUCAGGCACGGUCGAUUGACGUAGUAGUAUAAUUGCUGACGUAUCGAUCUUCCUCUUCUUCGGUCGUUCCUUCUUGGUGUCUCCUUCGGUCGGGGGAGGAUACCUGUGAAGGCACUCCGACGCUCAAGUAAGUGAGAGAUUCUAAGUGUGAUUUAGUAGGUGGAUGAAAAACGUACCUUUCUUUGACUUGAGCACAGUAUUUAUAGGAUUGCCUAAUGGGCUUUCUGUCCCUUGGGCUCAGGGUGGUUAUGGAUGAGUCUUGCAAGUCAUGCCCCGGAAUACCCGGAGAACAUAUCUUCUCUAAGCGCGUUCUCCUUAUUUUUCGGAGGUGUAUCUUAACCACCUUAGUUUGCCACAUAAAUGCCCUUACAUUUAUUAUGCAUUCGGUCGGUCGGCCACGUGUGUUCGUCCGGUGCCUGCCGGUACAGAUAUAUAUCAGCAUCUUGGUAAAGUGCACGUGCAAUUUGUAUUCUUUGUUUUUGUCCACCACUCAAAUUUAUUCCACGCUCUCCUAUGACUGUCUGAUCACCAAAUGACAAAAUCUCCAGAUCCUUCUUCAGGGAACACGCUUCAAGUACCUUCUCAUACUUUUCCCUAUCCAUUUGUUUGCCAAACAAUAUAUUAUCCUCAAUCUUACCACUUUGUAUCCAUGGAGAUUGAGUAACAUAGGCCCACAAACCUUAAGGAUGCCUGAUAUCUUUGGUACUUCUCCUAAUAAACAAGAAAGGAAUGUAGACUUGCCUGAUCCAACAGUACCACAAACUGCAACCUUCAUCCCAUUGAAAACUUUAAGAUUUAUAUUUUGUAAUGUUGGGUUAGGGGAAGAUAAUUCCCAACAAAAGUUUCCACCAACUACUUCAAUUGCUGUAUCAGAACUUCCCCGGGGAAGCUUCUCUACAACAUCAGAGGGUAAGUCAUCCAGACGAAGGAAUGAUGCAAUCCUAUCAAGAGAUACUUUAGUUUGUGCUAUCAUCGAAAUUGUAUCUGGAAGGUUAUAAAUGGGCUCCUGAAGAAUCCCAAAUGUUGCUAGUGCAGACAAGAUCUUCCCUGAUUCAAGGGGGACCCCUCCAAGCAUACAAGUACCGAAAGUAACCACGGCUACAAAUGUGGGGCCACCCCUAAACAAAAACGAGCUCAUGGCUGCAAUAUAGGCACCUUUUUUCAACCAGCCUUGCUCAGUUUUCCUGAGCUCAGUUAUUUUUUAUAGAAACUUCAUUUCCCAUCCUUGUAGUUUGAGAAUCUUCAUAUUCCUUAAAAUCUCGGCUGUGGCUUUCAUUCUUGUAUCUUUCGACUGCAUCAAUUUCUUUUGAAACUUCUCUUGCAAUGAUCCCAAGGGAACAUUUACCAGCAUAACAACAAUAGUUGCAACAAAAGCAGCAAUUGAAGCCAGCCAAGGUUUUUAUACAAAAUCAAAAAGGCCAAUGUAACUUUCAAGGCCACCAUCCACAAAUCAUGUAUAUACCAACUAAAGGCACCAACUCUUUCAGCAUCAACAGCCAUGAAAUUGAUUAUUUCCCCGUAAGUGUGGCCAUGCUUGGAUUGACAAGAAAGGGUCAGAGCCUUGUUGUAGAUCAUCGUGACAAGCAGUGCACGCAUUCGAAGUCCAACUUGCUGCAACCUAAAGCACCGAUGCAAUUGAGACAGACACUCUGCCAUCUUUGCAAAGAGAAAAGCCGAAAUCAAAACAUAGCCCUGGUUUUCAUAAAGCCGUUGUCCAUCAAGGUACUGAACAAAACCAUCCAUAAGAUAAGGACCAACAUAAGAAGCCAAAGUGUUUAACAGUGCAAGAAAAGCUGUGAAAAGAAUCUCCUUCCACGCUGACAUCACUAACGACUUCACCAACUUAAGUGUGGUGACAUUAUUUAUUAUGCCACAAUCAGCCUCAAGUUUAUCUCUGAACCCAGGAAAAGCUCCAACAACACUGUCUCUGCUGUCUAGUUGAGGAACAUCCUCAAGGUCGAGGGUCUUCUUAUUGCCAACAGCUAUAAGAGGACCCACCCAAGAGAAGGUAAGAAGGCUAAGAAUGCCAGCAUAUGAGAAAGGCGUAACAGUGUCCCCUCCCCUGGUCUCUUUUGAUCUCAAGACAUCAUCCUCAUUUGUGCCACCAUUCAAAAGAGGUUCCUGAAUACCGUUAUUUUCUUUUUCUCGAACGUGGCCUUUGCUUUUCACAAAAUACCCCACGUAACAGAAUAACAAACCAACACAAGUGGAAACUACAUCAGAAACCAAGUACUGUGUUGGCAAAACAACGCGUCUCUCUGAUAUAACAACAAUGUCCACCACGAAGCAAUAGCAAGAAACAGAGAGGUACAAGACGCACCAAGCUCUGAAGAGGAAUGAGAACCUUCUCUCGCCUGAACUGAAGAAGCCCUUGUUCAAGCAAACACAAACAACGCCCCAGGCAACUGUUUUGAGCACCAAAUCCAAAAGGGUCACGAGCUCUUCUUCUGACCAGCCACUAGAGUACCAGUAGAAGUAAUUGAACAAACAGAGGAGAAAACUGAAAGCAGAAACACCCAGAGAACAAAACACGGUCGUUUUAAAGAGGGUGUUGUCGAGCUUCUCCUUAGACUCAUUCCUGACACGUGUCGUGAAUUUCUUCCAAACCCAUGACAAUGAAACCGCGACGAGCAACAGAAGGUGGAGGAAGCCGGAUAAGCCAUGAGGGAAAACGGGUUGGAGGAGAACAUCGUUGGAAAGGUGUAUGUGGGUAAAGGGCAAGAAAAGAGACAACAUCACAGUUAGAAAUUAGAAUGAACGACGAAAUACAAAAUUUGUAUGGGGUGUUUGCUUGGAAGAAAUGGGACAGUGUAAGAUGGUGUAAAAGAUUAAGUAUUUGAGGUCUAUAUAAAGAGUAGGAAAUCGUGCAGAAAGGUGAAGUCAAAAAGGAGAGACAAAGAGAGUCAAAUAAAAAAAAGUUGCUUGGGAAGACGGUAACUUGGUGGGCAAGACUCGUGUUUGGUAGAGAGAAAUAGCAGAAGAGACAAAAGGGUGGAGUUUUCCACGAAAAAGAAUGGAGCUUGGAGAAGAAUCAGCGCGACACACUAUGCAAACAAUGGAAGAGAGAGAGUGUGUGUGACAAUGAUCUUAACAUGCGGGCAAUGCACAAGUUAUAGUUAGAGAAAAUCUCUUGGAAUUAAUUGCUUCCUCUUCUUGUCUCUCACACUUAAUUUUAUCUAUUAAGUAUUUGACUUUAAUUUAAUUAAAAUGUGUCAGGUUUUAGUUUUUUAUUCUGACAUUUAAUAAUAAACUAUACGUACUACUCUUUUUCUACCAACUUAUAUUUUAGGAAUUUUUAUUUUUAUCAUGUCACACGUAAUUUAUCUAUGACUGUUUUUUAUAUUUUAAUAUUAUUUUUUUUAAUUUUUACCCGUUAUUAUUUAUUUUUAUAUUGUAAAUACAAUUAAUUAUGAUACUAUUUUUAGAUUUUUUGGAUUGUUUGUUAAUUUUUCAUACACUUUAAAUUAAAAAAAUUAACAUUAACAACAAAUAUUUUUUUACAUACUCUAUAAAAAUUAUACACAAUAGAAAUGUUAAGAAAAUCAAUGUAUUAACUAUUUAAAUAGAAAAUUUUAAAAAAAUUAAAUUUCCGAAUAAAUAAAUUAAAAUUGAAAUUUUAUUAUGCUGGAAGAACAUUAAAAUUGGUUGUUCCCAUAAAUGGGGAGGAGAACAAAGUACAUUGAAACACAUGUAUAUUCAUUUGUCUUCAUGUCCACCACUUCUUUAUUACAAUGAAUGGUCACUUUCAAGAAAGUGUAAUUUAUUUUCAUUUUUAUUUUUUAGAAAUAUACUUAUUGGUAUUAUUUUAUUAAGUGAUGGAAGAUUUAAACCUAAGGAUGUCACUUUACAUAUAGAAUAAAUAAUGUUAGAAAAUAAAUAAAUCUAAAAUUAUUUAUCAUUUUAAUAUAAACUUACAAAUUUGGAAUUUUUUAAAAAAUAAUAUAAUUUUUAUAUUAAUUAUUAAAAUAAAUAAAAUUUUAUCGAAAUAAAUAAAUCAUAUUAAGAUGACACAAAUUCAAUUAAAAUCAUAUUACUUAAAACAACUUUAAUUCAACUACACUAAAAUUAUAAAUUUUUUCCAAAUAAAAUUAUAAUUUUUUAAAAUUUCACUCAUACAAAUAAUUAAAAUGUAAAAUGUAAUUAACAUAUAAAAUUACAAUUUGAUAAAAAAAAACCUCUAAACAAUUUCUUCAUUCAUUUCACUUUAUAUAAUAUUUAAGACUACGACAUUAAUAUUGUAAUCAGCAUUCUAAAUUUAUAAAACUGUCUAAUAUAUCUUUCAAUUUCAUGAACUAAUUAGUCAUUUACCACAAUCACUUAUACAGAUGAAUGUUGACCAAAUUUUGGAAGCUAAAAUAAUACAUUUAAACAAAGCAUAAUUUAUAAUAUUUAAUAUCUAUGUUAAGUUACUACCACACGUCUAAGGUAGAGUGGGUAAGUUUUUCUCCUAACCACAUAAGAAAACAUAUAAAAAAAAUAGAGACAUUUUUAUUAAUUUAAUGUAAUAUUGUCUGUUAAUUAUUAAAAAAAUUAAAUUAAUUAAAAUAAAAAUUUAUAUCAAAAUGACGUAAUUCUUUAUGAAAAAAUGUGUUAAAAUAAUAUCACUUUAAUAUAUUUAAACUGACGUAAUUUUAAUAUAAUCAAAAUUUAAUUAUUAAUAAUUUUUUAUACCAUUGACAUAUUUGGAUAGGAAUCAAGUAUAUCUUAUUAGGAAUAGAAGUCAGUUUAUCUUGGAAAAGAAAAAAAAUUAGAGGCAGGAGGUUACUGAGUAGAAGAGAGGUGAACUUUUUAGAUGGGAUACAAAGGUUAGAAGGUUGAAAGAGGUAUCUUCUUCUAAAUUCUUCUGCUAUUAUUAGGAUUUUUAUCUUUAAGAUAUGUAUCAACACUAUUGGUAAGUAGAAUCCUAUUUUUCUACCAUUGGGGUUAAGGUUUUGAUUUUCUAUAUCACUGUGUAUAAAUAUUUUCUCAUAAUAAUUUCUUCCUUCACCUGUGUAAACAGACUAGGCAUUAAAACCUUUAUUUUAUGAAAUACUAUAAUCUCAGAAAAAUAUACACAAAUUCCAUGUAAUCCACAAGAUUUUCGCCACUGUCAAGGAACAUUUUUGUUUCUGUAUGCUUCAAUUUGAAUCAGUGAUCAUCAGAUUUCUCAAAAUUGGAGUUGAAACUCAUGGUAUACUCAGCAACAAGUCGAGCAAAAUAUGAUGACUUAUUCUCUAGCAAUUUUGUUGGGGUGUCAUACUCCUCAAUAAGUCCUGCACCAAUGUCUAGCCAAAUUAGAAAAUGAAAGAUGAAGAUGCAAAGAAUAUGAAUGCUAUGUGAAGAAUGAGAGGCUUUCCUAACCUUGACUAAGAAGCAGAACCAUAUCACUGUCAAGAACUGAAGUUAUUCGGUGUGCAAUGGUAAUAACUGUGGAGUCAGUGAAAUGUUGCCUAAGAGUUUGCUGAAUCAAAUUAUCCGUAGCUGUAUCAACUGAUGCAGUGGCUUCAUCAAGAACCAAAACCUUGCUUUUCUUUAGCAGAACCCUCCAAAGGCAGACCAACUGUCUCUGACCCAUACUCCAAUUCUCACCAUUCUCACUGACUGCAACAUCAGCAUGAACAUUAGCAAUAAGUUCAAGAAUAGAUUUAGUACACACUUAUGUUCAACAAAGUUCAAAGAGAAACCUUUGGAAUCAAGCUUUCCUUCUUUCUUUCUAACUUCAUCUCCAAGUUGACAUUUAUCCAAGGCCUAUUUAAAAAGAAUGUUAAUGAGUGAGCGCAAUAUAAAUUGUGAAGAACGACUACAGCAUAAUCUUUUAUACCAACACACCUCCCAAAUUUGAUCAUCAGUGUAUUCUUCCAGGGGGUCCAGAUUAUUUCUUACUGUUCC
Molecule: long non-coding RNA, 8728 nt
Filed under: Phaseolus vulgaris (common bean)
Lineage: Eukaryota; Viridiplantae; Streptophyta; Magnoliopsida; Fabales; Fabaceae
Description: long non-coding RNA (PVUL_LNC001750)
Source: RNAcentral